GGGCCCUCCUGCCCUGCGUUUAUCUGCUGCUCCUUGUCAUCAUCUCCGUGGGCAAUGCCCCUGAACCCCAUUCUCCAGCUAUCCGGCAGCGUGCUGGACGUCGUCCUCCUCGACGCGGCCAUCCCCGACGAGCUCUUUUGGUCAGAGGAGGUGGAGCAGCAAGGCCUCCUAUCCUCCAGCGCGUGGACCGACAGCUGUGUCCUCCUGCUCUCCUAGUGUGCAAACUAUAUGCAUAUCUAGGAUAUGAUGCAAGCAUGCAGUAGCAUGAGACCUCUUUCCUAAUUCUAGGACAUGAUGUGAAGCUUGCAUCUGAUUUUAAGGUAUUGAAUUACACUGAAUUUGCUGGAGAACAACUUUUCCUAGAAAACUUAAAGAACAAGUUCUGAGGUGGAACUAAGGGGCUUUAGGUACGGAGAUUGUCUGACAGCGGCACACGCGAUGGUGCUCACAUGUGCGAUUUGGCAAGGAAGUAUGUGAUCACAGUAUUGCUGUUGUCAGCGGCGGCUUCCCUCGCCGCAUACAAUUUCUCUCAAUCAAUAUUUUAUUUGCCAGAUUGGUCCUUUGGCUGUAUUUUGGUCUCCUGCAGGAUGAACAUGGGGAUUGGUUGGGCCGGUGCUUCCAGACUUGCCUGAAAUGGAAUCCUCCAGUUGAGGAAGAUUGAUUCUUGCAGAUGUGAGGGAAGAACUUGUGGAGAGGCUCACCUCGCUCUUCACAAAAGGCCAAUACAUACUUGUUGUACUACUGGAUGAACUUAUAUUUUUAUAUAUGUUUGUAAAUGUUUCCAAUGUGGCUUUAGUGAUGUCAUCUAGGAUCCUUGUUGUAAUGGACGAUUUUUUUUAGAAAUGGUAAUGGAUGAAAUAA
Molecule: long non-coding RNA, 861 nt
Organism: Triticum dicoccoides
Lineage: Eukaryota; Viridiplantae; Streptophyta; Magnoliopsida; Poales; Poaceae
Exons: 6
Source: RefSeq, a predicted model, not a curated record